AGCUCCAAUAGCGUAUAUUAAAGUUGCUGCAGUUAAAAAGCUCGUAGUUGAAUUUCUGGCGAGAGGAUCCGGUCCGACCUUUUGGUGGGUUCUUGGGUCUCUUUCGCCAUCCUUGAGUGGUCCGUUCUGGCAUUAGGUUGUCGGAGCGUCAGCCGCUCAUCGUUUACUGUGAGAAAAUUAGAGUGUUCAAAGCAGGCUUAUGCCGUUGAAUAUAUUAGCAUGGAAUAAUAAGAUAGGACCUCGGUACUAUUUUGUUGGUUUGCGCACCAAGGUAAUGAUGAACAGGGACAGUUGGGGGUAUUUGUAUUUCGUUGUCAGAGGUGAAAUUCUUAGAUUUACGAAAGACAAACUACUGCGAAAGCAUUUACCAAGGAUGUUUUCA
RNAcentral lists this ribosomal RNA (382 nucleotides) under uncultured marine Chaetocerotaceae. RNAcentral describes it as "SSU rRNA". It matches the Rfam family "Eukaryotic small subunit ribosomal RNA", at positions 587 to 972 of the family's 1831-position model. Lineage: Eukaryota; Bacillariophyta; Thalassiosirophyceae; Chaetocerotales; Chaetocerotaceae. The record is from RNAcentral.